GGGUGGGAGCAGGUACAAAUAACAAUUGGGUUAGCAGGCAUAGUCGGAAAUAACGUAAAUCUAAAUCUAAAUAGUUACAACAGCUAGAUAUUUAUUGGUCUUUAACUAAGCACAAUGUGAUUUAUUUGCAAUUAAAAUUUUAUGCAAUUGCGACGAGAAAGAUUUUUAGUAGAGUAAAAAGUGUGAUGUCAAAAGCACACAAUACUUUUUUUGUAAAGCUGUGCAAUUAAUAAACCGCGCCGCCGGGGCUUUAAAGUUUUCUAUAUAUUUUACAUGCAGAAAAUACCUGUUACUUUGUGCUCGUAACCACAUGACUCACAUUAAAAAAAAAA
Rhagoletis zephyria (snowberry fruit fly) is the source of this 332-nucleotide long non-coding RNA. RefSeq lists it as uncharacterized. The record is from RefSeq and is a predicted model, not a curated record. Lineage: Eukaryota; Metazoa; Arthropoda; Insecta; Diptera; Tephritidae.